GCCAGGUGUUGUGGCGGCGGCCUGUAGCCCCAGUUACUCGGGAGGCUGAGGCAAGAGAAUCGCCUAAGCCCAGGAGUUGGAGGUUGCUGUGAGCUGUGACGCCACAUCACUCUACCGAGGGCAACAAAGUGAGACUCAUUUUGUUGCCCUCGGUAGAGUAAUGUGGCAUCACAGCUCGCAGUAACCUCCAACUCCUGGGCUUACGGGAUUCUCUUGCCUCAG
RNAcentral lists this signal recognition particle RNA (222 nucleotides) under Otolemur garnettii (small-eared galago). Its description in RNAcentral is "Metazoan signal recognition particle RNA". It matches the Rfam family "Metazoan signal recognition particle RNA". From Rfam's summary of the family: The signal recognition particle (SRP) is a universally conserved ribonucleoprotein. Lineage: Eukaryota; Metazoa; Chordata; Mammalia; Primates; Galagidae. The record is from Rfam by way of RNAcentral.